Molecule: ribosomal RNA, 429 nt
Filed under: Chloroflexota bacterium
Lineage: Bacteria; Bacillati; Chloroflexota
Description: Chloroflexi bacterium partial 16S ribosomal RNA
Rfam family: Bacterial small subunit ribosomal RNA
Source: RNAcentral
UGGGGAAUAUUGCACAAUGGGCGCAAGCCUGAUGCAGCCAUGCCGCGUGUGUGAAGAAGGCCUUCGGGUUGUAAAGCACUUUCAGCGGGGAGGAAGGCGUUAAGGUUAAUAACCUUGGCGAUUGACGUUACCCGCAGAAGAAGCACCGGCUAACUCCGUGCCAGCAGCCGCGGUAAUACGGAGGGUGCAAGCGUUUAUCGGAAUUACUGGGCGUAAAGCGCACGCAGGCGGUCUGUCAAGUCGGAUGUGAAAUCCCCGGGCUCAACCUGGGAACUGCAUUCGAAACUGGCAGGCUAGAGUCUUGUAGAGGGGGGUAGAAUUCCAGGUGUAGCGAUGAAAUGCGUAGAGAUCUGGAGGAAUACCGGUGGCGAAGGCGGCCCCCUGGACAAAGACUGACGCUCAGGUGCGAAAGCGUGGGGAGCAAACAGG